RNAcentral lists this signal recognition particle RNA (91 nucleotides) under Alphaproteobacteria bacterium. RNAcentral's name for it is "signal recognition particle sRNA small type". It matches the Rfam family "Bacterial small signal recognition particle RNA". From Rfam's summary of the family: The signal recognition particle (SRP) is a universally conserved ribonucleoprotein involved in the co-translational targeting of proteins to membranes. Archaeal SRP consists of a 7S RNA and homologues of the eukaryotic SRP19 and SRP54 proteins. Lineage: Bacteria; Pseudomonadati; Pseudomonadota; Alphaproteobacteria. The record is from RNAcentral.
GGUUGGCGGCGGGCGGGUCCCUCGCCAACUCGGUCAGGUCCGGAAGGAAGCAGCCGUAACGAGUUUCAGCCCGGGUCGCUCGCCAGCCGUU